AUUGAACGCUGGCGGCAGGCCUAACACAUGCAAGUCGAGCGGAUGAAGGGAGCUUGCUCCUGGAUUCAGCGGCGGACGGGUGAGUAAUGCCUAGGAAUCUGCCUGGUAGUGGGGGAUAACGUCCGGAAACGGGCGCUAAUACCGCAUACGUCCUGAGGGAGAAAGUGGGGGAUCUUCGGCCCUCAGGCUAUCAGAUGAGCCUAGGUCGGAUUAGCUAGUUGGUGGGGUAAAGGCCUACCAAGGCGACGAUCCGUAACUGGUCUGAGAGGAUGAUCAGUCACACUGGAACUGAGACACGGUCCAGACUCCUACGGGAGGCAGCAGUGGGGAAUAUUGGACAAUGGGCGAAAGCCUGAUCCAGCCAUGCCGCGUGUGUGAAGAAGGUCUUCGGAUUGUAAAGCACUUUAAGUUGGGAGGAAGGGCAGUAAGUUAAUACCUUGCUGUUUUGACGUUACCAACAGAAUAAGCACCGGCUAACUUCGUG
This 484-nucleotide ribosomal RNA is filed under the name uncultured bacterium. RNAcentral's name for it is "partial 16S ribosomal RNA". It matches the Rfam family "Bacterial small subunit ribosomal RNA", at positions 30 to 507 of the family's 1533-position model. The record is from RNAcentral.